GCCUCGGUGAUGUAGUGGUAAAGCAAGCGUCCGUAGAUAGGACGAAACGCGGGUUCGCUUUCCGCCUGAGGCG
Molecule: non-coding RNA, 73 nt
Organism: Parelaphostrongylus tenuis
Lineage: Eukaryota; Metazoa; Nematoda; Chromadorea; Rhabditida; Metastrongylidae
Source: the annotation of a GenBank genome assembly